ACUCCUACGGGAGGCAGCAGUGAGGAAUAUUGGUCAAUGGUCGCAAGACUGAACCAGCCAUGCCGCGUGCAGGAUGACGGUCCUAUGGAUUGUAAACUGCUUUUGUACGGGAAGAAACACUCCUACGUGUAGGGGCUUGACGGUACCGUAAGAAUAAGGAUCGGCUAACUCCGUGCCAGCAGCCGCGGUAAU
Molecule: ribosomal RNA, 192 nt
Filed under: uncultured bacterium
Lineage: Bacteria
Description: partial 16S ribosomal RNA
Rfam family: Bacterial small subunit ribosomal RNA
Source: RNAcentral